This is a long non-coding RNA of Oncorhynchus keta (chum salmon), 609 nucleotides long. RefSeq lists it as uncharacterized. The transcript has 3 exons. Lineage: Eukaryota; Metazoa; Chordata; Actinopteri; Salmoniformes; Salmonidae. The record is from RefSeq and is a predicted model, not a curated record.
ACAGACAGAGUAACGUUGUUGGCUGAAAUACAGUGGAAGUCCAAAGUCCAUCAGAAAGACAAAUACUUUUCUUUAAAAAGCAUAAAAAAACAUGUCAGUCUAUCCUCCUCUGAGCAGGGCGAUUCUUGUGGUGACCACAGAAAGGCCAUAGUCCUGUUUGGCUAAAUAGAUCCUGCAGACGUCAGGAAGAGCCUCUCUGCUCUCUAUUAGGGUCCGCUCUCAGGUUUGUCAGGAAGAGCCUCUCUGCUCUCUAUUAGGGUCCGCUCUCAGGUUUGUCAGGAAGAGCCUCUCUGCUCUCUAUUAGGGUCCGCUCUCAGGUUUGUCAGGAAGAGCCUCUCUGCUCUCUAUUAGGGUCCGCUCUCAGGUUUGUCAGGAAGAGCCUCUCUGCUCUCUAUUAGGGUCCGCUCUCAGGUUUGUCAGGAAGAGCCUCUCUGCUCUCUAUUAGGGUCCGCUCUCAGGUUUGUCAGGAAGAGCCUCUCUGCUCUCUAUUAGGGUCCGCUCUCAGGUUUGUCAGGAAGAGCCUCUCUGCUCUCUAUUAGGGUCCGCUCUCAGGUUUGCCAAGUGCUCCAUUGGAAACAGGUUACGCUGCAGUGACUGCUUUUGAUUUGG